CAAGAUCACUUACUUAGUUGGAUAUAAAAUACUAGUAUUGGCUAGUAGCCUUCUUAUAUGGAGGAAGAGCUUAUAUCUUUCUUAUAUUCCCUCGAUGUGGGACUUAGUGAAGUCCAUAAACUUUAGAACUCAUCCUUCAUCUUGUUAUUUAUCUAAUUAUGAGAAAACAUAUCAAAUUUUUCUCUAAAUAAAAAGUUUGAACAUAUAUUAUUUGGCUAUGUUUAAACCAGGAGAAAGGUUGCAAGCUUUCUUAGAUACAAAGGUUGCAAAACCUUUUAAGUAGAAAGGUGAGCUAAUUGGGGGAUAUAUAUAGAUGUUGAAAGCAAGAAGGUUUCAAUACCUUUUCGAUGUGGGAUGAGUAGUGUAUUAAAAUGAGAGGAAAAAUACACAAACCACAUUGACUAAAUAAAUGAAGAAUAUUGUAAACAUAUAGAAGGAGCCAAGGUUAUGAGCAACAAGAAUUAAUUGGUUGUAGGCCCAGCUUCCCUUGUACACCCUUGAGUGCUUUGUUAGAAUUUCUUUUCUUUUUGUGCUUUACUUUGCUACCACAUUGAUAAGAAAAAUGAAACUUGAUAGAUAUAUAUAGAAAAGGAGCAUGGCCUUUACCAACAACUUAAGCUAUUUACAUACUGCCUAGUUGGUACUAGCUCUAAUGUCAUGUUUAUGUAAAAAAUUUUAUUUUCAAUAUUUCAUUUUCUUUCUAUUGGACUUGGUACCACAUCGAGAAAGCUUGAGAAAUUCUCCCACUUUCCUUGUAUAAAUACACCAAGCUAGUUGGCUUUCCUAAUUAGGAAACUGAAGGCUUUUAAUUUGAAGGGUUAAUAGUACCGAGGUUCGAGAUCGAGAAAGAAUUUAAAUUUAGAAGCGAUUUAAGGAAAGAAUUUUGGAGAAGGAUGUUCUGGAAAGGAUAAGAAUGUGAUGAACUAAGGUUUUAGUGGCAACGAGAGGCAUGUAGCAACUAAAGGAAGAUGCUAGUAUAAUAUGCUUGUGUUUGUGUUUAAGUUAGGAACUUAUGAUGUAAUCUUUUGUUCAAACUUGAAAACGUUGUA
This is a long non-coding RNA of Daucus carota subsp. sativus, 1049 nucleotides long. RefSeq lists it as uncharacterized. The transcript is spliced from 3 exons. The record is from RefSeq and is a predicted model, not a curated record. Lineage: Eukaryota; Viridiplantae; Streptophyta; Magnoliopsida; Apiales; Apiaceae.